GGAAUUUAAUUUUGUUGUCAGAGUAGUAAUAGUUAAGAUCUUGAAACUCAAAAAAUUUGGCGGUACUUUAGUCUAUUUAGAGGAACCUGUAAUUUAAUCGAUAAUCCACGUUGGACCUAACUUAGUUUUGUAAUUUUUCAAUUUGUAUACCGCCGUUUUUGAAAAUUUUAUAAGGAAAAUAAUUUUCAAAAUUUUUUAUAGGAGAAGAAGUCAGGUCAAGGUGCAGUUAAUAAUUAAGUUUUAUAUGGGUUACAAUAAAUUUAUUUAAGCGGAGUAUGAAAUGAAAUUUUUGUAUGAAGAUGGAUUUAAAAGUAAAUUUUUAUAGAUAAAAAUAUUGAUU
This 340-nucleotide ribosomal RNA is filed under the name Medetera diadema. RNAcentral describes it as "partial 12S ribosomal RNA". Lineage: Eukaryota; Metazoa; Arthropoda; Insecta; Diptera; Dolichopodidae. The record is from RNAcentral.